Non-coding RNA from Caenorhabditis elegans, 149 nucleotides. The record is from Ensembl. NCBI's taxonomy places the organism in Eukaryota, Metazoa, Nematoda, Chromadorea, Rhabditida, Rhabditidae.
GGCUAAAGUUUAGUCUUAGGCUCAGGAUUAUGCUUAAGUUUAGUCUUAGGCUCAGGAUUAUGCUUGGCUUAGGCUUGGGCCUUAGGCUUGAGCAAAUGCUUAGGCUUAGGCUUAGGCGAAGGCUUAGGCUCUAAAAUUACGCUUAGGCU